AUAGUCUGUCUGUACAUACAGUCAUACACUUCAAUAAAAAUGAAAUACUUAGUUAUUUUCGUUCUUUGCUUCAUCGCUUUCGCGGCAGCCAACCCCCAGUUGCUGACAUGGCCGGGCAUUGUCGCACCUCUCGCCCCUAGGACUGUCGUUGCGGGACCAACUGUAGUGAAUGGACUCUACGGCGAUCGUGUUGUGUCUCCCGGCGUUAUCACCACCGGUUUCAUAUAAAAUAUGUUUAAAGGAAUAUCAUCAAAUAAACCAUUAUGUCAUGUUAACAUACAGUAUACGAGCAAUCGGUUCCUAUAUGAAUACAUUUUUAUGCAACUGAAAUAAAGUAUUUCGAAUUGAA
This is a long non-coding RNA of Papilio xuthus (Asian swallowtail), 349 nucleotides long. RefSeq lists it as uncharacterized. The record is from RefSeq and is a predicted model, not a curated record. The transcript has 3 exons. Lineage: Eukaryota; Metazoa; Arthropoda; Insecta; Lepidoptera; Papilionidae.